Molecule: long non-coding RNA, 424 nt
Organism: Gossypium arboreum
Lineage: Eukaryota; Viridiplantae; Streptophyta; Magnoliopsida; Malvales; Malvaceae
Exons: 3
Source: RefSeq, a predicted model, not a curated record
GAUCCAACAGUUUUGCCAUAUUACUUUUUUAACUCUACGUCAUUUUUAAUCACUUUCUGUUUUAGUUCAUUAAGAACAUAGCAGAAGUCAAUAGUCAUGCUUAGUGGACAGGAAGCACCAGACAUGUCUGUGUUUAUUCGAGCAAGGGCUGCCGCCUAUCCCAUAUUUGAAAGAAUUCAUCAUGGUGCUUCUCUUCCCUAAGGCUCAACGUCCAGCCCCCUAUUAUAAGGUUAAAAUUUUUUGGAACGAUCAUGCAAAGGAGGCUUCAGAUGCAUCAAAUUCACAUGGGAUGGUUCGGACAAAUAAGUAAAAAGACAAGAUUUUCGUGAAGAUUAUAUGCGCUUCAGAAUGUUCAACACUGUGUUAGUUUAAUGGUUAGAAUGUUUAUUACUCAAUGUAAUUUGGGUUGCAUUAGUCUUAUAAA